UUUGCAAUUACCAUAAUUAUUGGAAUUAAGCGACUUAAUACCAGAUAAGUUCUAUUUCAUUCGGUCAUUUGCUGGACGUAAUGACUUAAAAGGAGAACAAAUUUAAAUUGGUUCCUUUCUGUGCCCAUUAGGUUACUGUAGAUAAGUCAUCGUAAAGAAGAAAGGAAACAAUUUAAGCGUUUUAGAGAAAGUUCUUCCUCAGCAGAAAUAGAUACAUAAAGUCCCAAGGAUCGGAAAGGGCCUCAAUCCACCAAAAACUGAGGCAUGCUUCCCCACAGUUAAAUAAAAAAGCCAGGAAUCACAAGAGUUGCUCCAUGGUGGAUUGCUUGGAAUUUAUGAUAUGUGGAAAGAGUGCUGAGACUCAGCGAAUGGCAGAGCAGAAAUAGAUAGCUAAAGUACCCAUGGAAUUUGAGGGACCUCAAACUUGAAAGGCUUAGUCAUGUUCUGGUUACUUUCAUGGAGCAUACCAGGUCCAUGACAACUUAAAUGUUGUUGCUGAGAUGGAAUCUACUCUUUUCACUUUUUCUUAGGACUCUUGAUCCACAAAAAUAAAAAGUGCUACAUUUUCAUUUAAACGAUAUGCUUUAAAAUGUUGCUUAGGAUUAUCCUCCGGGUGCAAAACUUUGACCGUCAACUGAUACAAUUCAAA
This is a long non-coding RNA of Nicotiana tabacum (common tobacco), 649 nucleotides long. RefSeq lists it as uncharacterized. The record is from RefSeq and is a predicted model, not a curated record. Lineage: Eukaryota; Viridiplantae; Streptophyta; Magnoliopsida; Solanales; Solanaceae.